GUGAGGAAUAUUGGUCAAUGGGCGGGAGCCUGAACCAGCCAAGUCGCGUGAAGGAAGAAGGAUCUAUGGUUCGUAAACUUCUUUUGCAGGGGAAUAAAGUGCAGGACGUGUCCUGUUUUGUAUGUACCCUGAGAAUAAGGAUCGGCUAACUCCGUGCCAGCAGCCGCGGUAAUACGGAGGAUCCGAGCGUUAUCCGGAUUUAUUGGGUUUAAAGGGUGCGUAGGUUGUUUGAUAAGUCAGCGGUGAAAGUUUGCAGCUUAACUGUAAAAAUGCCGUUGAAACUGUCGGACUUGAGUGUAAAUGAGGUAGGCGGAAUGCGUGGUGUAGCGGUGAAAUGCAUAGAUAUCACGCAGAACUCCGAUUGCGAAGGCAGCUUACUAAGCUACAACUGACACUGAAGCACGAAAGCGUGGGGAUCAAACAGGAUUAGAUACCCCAGUAGUCC
Molecule: ribosomal RNA, 445 nt
Filed under: uncultured bacterium
Lineage: Bacteria
Description: partial 16S ribosomal RNA
Rfam family: Bacterial small subunit ribosomal RNA
Source: RNAcentral